RNAcentral lists this long non-coding RNA (888 nucleotides) under Arabidopsis thaliana (thale cress). Its description in RNAcentral is "potential natural antisense gene, locus overlaps with AT2G41180 (AT2G41178)". Lineage: Eukaryota; Viridiplantae; Streptophyta; Magnoliopsida; Brassicales; Brassicaceae. The record is from RNAcentral.
AACAAAUGAAAGAUUUCUAUAUAUACUCACAAACGUAAAUAAUUCGCGAGAAAAAAAACUAUAUAUGUAAUAUAUCCAUAUAUAGGUUUUGAUGAAAACCCUAAAACUAUAGAUGGUUUAUUCUUCGUGAUCGGUGUUUCAGUGCCGAAACAAAACAUUCAUAGUUUAAAAUUCAGAGAGAACCAAUGCUUCCUAAAGCGUUAACAUUGUAAAAUCCAGACGAGAAAAAACCAGAAAGACCUGCCGACAUCUGAGGAGCAUUAAACACUUCCUCAUCCAACGGUGAAUAAUACUCUCCACGGACCUCUCCAUCCAACGGCUCUAAGUUCAUCUCCGACUCACACGGACGGUGGAGAUCUACGGCGGUAAAAGUGGUGGGCGACGGUGGUAGAUCAGCGGCGUCUUGACCGGUGAGUUCUUGAACAAGCUCUCUGAACUUAGAAGGACAAGUCUCGACUCUCAUCGGAUUUGAUAUGUAACGGACUUUGAUGGGUUUGUGCGUAGUCGUUGACUUCCUCUUCUGCUUAGGUGGGAUCCUAGUCGGAGACGAUGAUGACUUUCUCUGGUUUAUGAGCAACGUUGAUGAUGACUGAUCCAUCUUCUUUAGUUCUUUUGUAAUAUGGAGAAAAAUUUAGAUGAAGGAGAGUGGAAGUUAAUGAGAAAGGAGAAGAAGUUACUGAGAAUUAAGGGAAGAGAGAAGAAACAAACAAAAAAAUUAAUGGCAUUGAAAAAAGUCCUCAUCCGCUGAUAGCCGACGGCGCGUUUAGCCCACGCGCGUUUAAGUUCAUCGUGUCUCCAUGACAUCUUUUACUUAGAUGACAAGUGUGAUUUGUUACUCUUUUUGAUUGAACAUUCUGUUGGACCAAAAAUAUAUAUAUACGGUCGGAC